AGGGUUUGAUCCUGGCUCAGGAUGAACGCUAGCGGCAGGCCUAACACAUGCAAGUCGAGGGGCAGCACGGUGUAGCAAUACACUGGUGGCGACCGGCGCACGGGUGCGUAACGCGUAUGCAACCUACCCAUAACAGGGGGAUAACACUGAGAAAUUGGUACUAAUACCCCAUAACAUCAGGACCGGCAUCGGUUCUGGUUGAAAACUCCGGUGGUUAUGGAUGGGCAUGCGUUGUAUUAGCUGGUUGGUGA
RNAcentral lists this ribosomal RNA (251 nucleotides) under uncultured bacterium. RNAcentral's name for it is "partial 16S ribosomal RNA". It matches the Rfam family "Bacterial small subunit ribosomal RNA", at positions 8 to 255 of the family's 1533-position model. The record is from RNAcentral.